RNAcentral lists this ribosomal RNA (399 nucleotides) under Aliarcobacter butzleri. RNAcentral describes it as "bacterial SSU rRNA". It matches the Rfam family "Bacterial small subunit ribosomal RNA", at positions 973 to 1369 of the family's 1533-position model. Lineage: Bacteria; Pseudomonadati; Campylobacterota; Epsilonproteobacteria; Campylobacterales; Arcobacteraceae. The record is from RNAcentral.
UCCUGGACUUGACAUAGUAAGAAUGAUUUAGAGAUAGAUUAGUGUCUGCUUGCAGAAACUUGCAUACAGGUGCUGCACGGCUGUCGUCAGCUCGUGUCGUGAGAUGUUGGGUUAAGUCCCGCAACGAGCGCAACCCUCGUCCUUAGUUGCUAACAGUUCGGCUGAGAACUCUAAGGAGACUGCCUACGCAAGUAGGAGGAAGGUGAGGAUGACGUCAAGUCAUCAUGGCCCUUACGUCCAGGGCUACACACAUGCUACAAUGGGGUAUACAAAGAGCAGCAAUACGGUGACGUGGAGCAAAUCUCAAAAAUGCCUCCCAGUUCGGAUUGUAGUCUGCAACUCGACUACAUGAAGUUGGAAUCGCUAGUAAUCGUAGAUCAGCUAUGCUACGGUGAAUAC